Anguilla anguilla (European eel) is the source of this 447-nucleotide long non-coding RNA. RefSeq lists it as uncharacterized. The transcript is spliced from 3 exons. The record is from RefSeq and is a predicted model, not a curated record. Lineage: Eukaryota; Metazoa; Chordata; Actinopteri; Anguilliformes; Anguillidae.
UUGGCUACCUUGUUGCCUGGAUAUCAGGUGGUGCAGGAUAACCAGACGAAGAGCAGACAUUAUUCAUUCUUAUAAUGGACACAGCAGGGAUAGCGGACUUUCCACUGGCUCGCAGGGACAUGCGAAAGGCAUUUUGUUUCAGAAAACAUGAAAGGCGAAAUGGAGGAACAAACUGUCAUUUGGAAGUCUAUCGCGGAUGUGUUUUAUGAAUAAUUCAGCUGUGCAGCAUCCAUACAUGGCAUCCUUGGCAUUACCAAGAACUGGGAUGUGACAGGCUCUGUGAUUACGAUAUGUACUGCCAAUCACAGGAAUCUCAGACCAUCAUGGAAGCCACAAUGUGGGGUGUUAGCAGCGACCGAAUGGCCAUUGCUGAUAGGCCAGGAGGCGGGGCUACCUGAGAGGAAGCUGGCGUUGCGCCGGUCGGCGUUCUGCUUGCGCAGACAGAAG